Molecule: microRNA precursor, 130 nt
Filed under: Pelobates cultripes (western spadefoot toad)
Lineage: Eukaryota; Metazoa; Chordata; Amphibia; Anura; Pelobatidae
Source: RNAcentral
ACUAGGACACAUGGGGACACAGACACUGGGAGACCUGGGGACACUGAGACACUAGGGGACACUGAGACUAGUGUCUCAGUGUCUCAGUGUCCCCAAGUCUCCCAGUGUCUGUGUCCCAUGUCUCUCAGUG